Molecule: long non-coding RNA, 1673 nt
Organism: Cyprinus carpio (common carp)
Lineage: Eukaryota; Metazoa; Chordata; Actinopteri; Cypriniformes; Cyprinidae
Source: Ensembl
GUGAACUUUACAGAGGGGAUUGACACGGGCCGCUUGCUGGGCGUCUGCUCUGGGGAAGACCAGGAAGACUUACUGAAGGUACGUGGGUGAGAACAUUCAAGAGCGUUUCCUUCUUUUGAAGAAUGGUCCAGUGUGAACCAUUAGAUUGUGUUUGAAUCAUAUGGUGAGGGACAUCUGAAACCAUCCUGAUUUUUGUGUAGGUUGGAACCAGAGCCAGUUUUUAUAACUCCCAGAGUUCAGCUUUCUCAUUUGAUCUUCAAGGUCACCACAAUACCUCCGGGUAAUUCAUUCUAUGUUUUUUUUUUUUUUUUUUUUUACUGUAGUCUACAUGUAUAUACUACAUCUACAUGUAUAUGUAGACUAUCCAACCAAUUUUGAUGUCUUCUGUAGCAUUGGACUAUUGGCAAACAUAUCCCACAACAUCUGCUUUACAUCCGUACUUGCCGUUUGAGUUUCAUUCAAAAUCACAGUUGAGUCGUGCAGGGAUUCAAGCACCCCCAAUAUUUUUCUCAGCUGCAGUCAUUUUUACCAUUCUACUGUGAAAUUUUGCAAGCGAAAUGCAGUCAUAUCAAUAGGAAUCUGUGCUAUAUUGAAUUUCAUGUGAGGAAUCUGACAGUGAGGACACGCUGUGGUGGAAAGAGAGGCUCACACAAUGAGCACAGUGGGAGGAUUUAACAAAGACAUGUCUCUCUUAUUAUAAGAAAGGCUCAGGGUUGGGGUUUGGAUCUUAGGGUAGAGAAUAACACUCAAAGAAAACUAGCUGAGUGUCGACUGGAUACUGUUUGGACGCCAUGAUCAGGUAAAGCCAGACAGAUGUUUUAGGAGUUACUUUUGUGGUUUGGUCAUUUGUUAUGACAUCUUCCAGAUAUAAGUCUCUUGUGUUUUGUUUUCAGGUCAGAGUUCAAGGCUCUUGGACUUUGGUAAGCAGACAAACGGAUUCCUUAGAACAGAAACAACCCUUUGUCUCAACAUUGACUCACUUUCAUAUACAUGCCCUGUCCCAUGCACCCGACUGGAGACAAAACCGCAACAAGCAGGCCCGUCAUUCUUGGGAGCACGGAAAGCCUGUAAAUGUUUCUGUAACAGUGAGUGAGCACUGGCAUGAUGACUCCAGCAGAGGGCAGGCCUGUAUCUUUCUCUCACCAGGACAGGCUUUAAUGUGGUCUGGAUCUCCCAGAGUGAACUCAGGCAAGGAGCUGUUGUACUCUCACACCCGCGUGUCUGUGUCCCGACACCCUCAGCACAACACCUUCACACUGUCACUCAGAAACAUCAGCAGCAGUCAGCGCUCCAACUACUCACUGAACACAGAGUGGCAGGUAGGAAACUGGAAUGUGGAAUUGGCCUGCAGUUCCCUGUCUUUAGGCAGGAAUGUGGCAAUCCAGGUUCAUGCAAAACUAGACCACAGUGAGAUGCUAUUGCAGCAGGGGGCGCUGGGAAAACGCUGGUUCAAGCUGCUGCUGGAUAUGACACGGAAAUGUCUGAUGAUAUCAGAGCAGUAUUCUGUUUGGAGGGACAUCACUGGUUUACCCUGGAGCCUCAGUGAGACCCUUACCCUUAUUUCUGAAGGAGCUGCCAAUCAGAGUCUGCUUUUUCAAGCUAAGGGAUACAGGGAAUGCCUGUGGGCCAUGGAGGCAAACCUCCAGCAGCUGGGGUCCAGGAUAAGGAGUUAA